This 547-nucleotide ribosomal RNA is filed under the name Fusarium oxysporum. RNAcentral's name for it is "eukaryotic LSU rRNA". The stretch from base 181 to 334 matches the Rfam family "5.8S ribosomal RNA". Lineage: Eukaryota; Fungi; Ascomycota; Sordariomycetes; Hypocreales; Nectriaceae. The record is from RNAcentral.
UUCCGUAGGGUGAACCUGCGGAGGGAUCAUUACCGAGUUUACAACUCCCAAACCCCUGUGAACAUACCACUUGUUGCCUCGGCGGAUCAGCCCGCUCCCGGUAAAACGGGACGGCCCGCCAGAGGACCCCUAAACUCUGUUUCUAUAUGUAACUUCUGAGUAAAACCAUAAAUAAAUCAAAACUUUCAACAACGGAUCUCUUGGUUCUGGCAUCGAUGAAGAACGCAGCAAAAUGCGAUAAGUAAUGUGAAUUGCAGAAUUCAGUGAAUCAUCGAAUCUUUGAACGCACAUUGCGCCCGCCAGUAUUCUGGCGGGCAUGCCUGUUCGAGCGUCAUUUCAACCCUCAAGCACAGCUUGGUGUUGGGACUCGCGUUAAUUCGCGUUCCUCAAAUUGAUUGGCGGUCACGUCGAGCUUCCAUAGCGUAGUAGUAAAACCCUCGUUACUGGUAAUCGUCGCGGCCACGCCGUUAAACCCCAACUUCUGAAUGUUGACCUCGGAUCAGGUAGGAAUACCCGCUGAACUUAAGCAUAUCAAUAAGCGGAGGAA